ACUUAAAUUGAAGAGUUUGAUCAUGGCUCAGAUUGAACGCUGGCGGCAGGCCUAACACAUGCAAGUCGAGCGGUAGCACAGAGAGCUUGCUCUCGGGUGACGAGCGGCGGACGGGUGAGUAAUGUCUGGGAA
Molecule: ribosomal RNA, 132 nt
Filed under: Klebsiella pneumoniae
Lineage: Bacteria; Pseudomonadati; Pseudomonadota; Gammaproteobacteria; Enterobacterales; Enterobacteriaceae
Also listed under: 1 other name
Description: partial 16S ribosomal RNA
Rfam family: Bacterial small subunit ribosomal RNA
Source: RNAcentral